AUUGAACGCUGGCGGCAUGCUUUACACAUGCAAGUCGAGCGGCAGCGCGGGGGGCAACCCUGGCGGCGAGCGGCGAACGGGUGAGUAAUGCAUCGGAACGUACCCCGUAGUGGGGGAUAACCCAGCGAAAGCUGGGCUAAUACCGCAUAUGCUCUACGGAGGAAAGUGGGGGACUCGCAAGGGCCUCACGCUAUGGGAGCGGCCGAUGUCCGAUUAGCUAGUUGGUGGGGUAAUGGCCCCACCAAGGCGACGAUCGGUAGCUGGUCUGAGAGGAUGAUCAGCCACACUGGGACUGAGACACGGCCCAGACUCCUACGGGAGGCAGCAGUGGGGAAUUUUGGACAAUGGGGGCAACCCUGAUCCAGCCAUGCCGCGUGCGGGAA
This 383-nucleotide ribosomal RNA is filed under the name uncultured bacterium. RNAcentral describes it as "bacterial SSU rRNA". It matches the Rfam family "Bacterial small subunit ribosomal RNA", at positions 28 to 409 of the family's 1533-position model. The record is from RNAcentral.